Catharus ustulatus (Swainson's thrush) is the source of this 402-nucleotide long non-coding RNA. RefSeq lists it as uncharacterized. The record is from RefSeq and is a predicted model, not a curated record. Lineage: Eukaryota; Metazoa; Chordata; Aves; Passeriformes; Turdidae. The transcript has 4 exons.
AAAAGCUGAGGAGCGGUGGCAGGAGCCGGCAGUCGAUCCCCGUGGUUUGGUCUUUGCCAUUCCCCUCCCAGCACGGAGCUCUGGGACAGACACAAAACAGGAUUGGAGCCACGACCCCCAGACAAGGAGCCUUUCUUCCCUUGACAAGCUCCGGCUGCCUGAAACAAAAUACCCGGAGUUGGGAUCCAUUGGCUGUAUCAGUCUCCCUUGAAACCUUACAGCACAAGGAACACCUCGAGGUGAGAGUAACUCCAUCCUGAAGAUUUGGCCUCAGGCAAACAGUGGAAGGCAGUCCGGGCUCUGCGGCUCCUGAGGGAAGUGCCACAGCGAGGGGAACGAGACAGCGCAGACAAAAGGAGCCGAGCACGGCUCUGCUGGCAUACAAAUAGAGAAAGGUGGGAA